GAAAACCGGGGAGCCAGAAUUUACCCAGGGUCUGGAUAACUUCUUCGGGAGGCUGAUCAGCAAAGCCGCCAGGGGGCGCAAAGCCUGGCCCAGAUGAAAGCACGCUUGUUUACAUUCAGCAUCCCCACGAGUGUCCUGACCGUAGCCCCGGUGUGCUCCCUCCCUCCCGAACAGGGCAUACCUCCACGAUCUCGCAGGUUCCACUCCAGACCACCAUCAUAAAGCCACUGUGGCAAUAAAGUGAGUCACAGUCUUUUUGCUGGUGGAGGGGCUUGCCUUUAGUUUGUAAAAAACACAACACCUGUGAAGCGCAAUAAAGCACGGGUAUGCCUGUACUACAUU
Phyllostomus discolor (pale spear-nosed bat) is the source of this 342-nucleotide long non-coding RNA. RefSeq lists it as uncharacterized. The record is from RefSeq and is a predicted model, not a curated record. NCBI's taxonomy places the organism in Eukaryota, Metazoa, Chordata, Mammalia, Chiroptera, Phyllostomidae. The transcript is spliced from 3 exons.